RNAcentral lists this ribosomal RNA (432 nucleotides) under uncultured bacterium. Its description in RNAcentral is "bacterial SSU rRNA". It matches the Rfam family "Bacterial small subunit ribosomal RNA", at positions 340 to 786 of the family's 1533-position model. The record is from RNAcentral.
UACGGAAGGCAGCAGUGGGGAAUAUUGGACAAUGGGCGAAAGCCUGAUCCAGCCAUGCCGCAUGAGUGAAGAAGGCCUUCGGGUUGUAAAGCUCUUUUAGUGAGAAAGAUAAUGACGGUACUCACAGAAGAAGUCCUGGCUAACUCCGUGCCAGCAGCCGCGGUAAUACGGAGGGUGCUAGCGUUAAUCAGAAUUACUGGGCGUAAAGAGCACGUAGGUGGUUUUUUUAAGUCAGAUGUGAAAUCCCUGGGCUUAACCUAGGAACUGCAUUUUGAAACUGAAAUACUAGAGUAUCGUAGAGGGAGGUAGAAUUCUAGGUGUAGCGGUGAAAUGCGUAGAUAUCUGGAGGAAUACCUGUGGCGAAAGCGGCCUCCUAAACGAAUACUGACACUGAGGUGCGAAAGCGUGGGGAGCAAACAGGGAUUAGAUACC